Capra hircus (goat) is the source of this 123-nucleotide small nucleolar RNA. Its record names the gene SNORA70. It matches the Rfam family "Small nucleolar RNA SNORA70". Rfam says of the family: snoRNA U70 seems to be exclusive to mammals and is a member of the H/ACA class of snoRNA which contain H (ANANNA) and ACA box motifs. NCBI's taxonomy places the organism in Eukaryota, Metazoa, Chordata, Mammalia, Artiodactyla, Bovidae. The record is from Ensembl.
UUGCAGCCAAUUAAGUGGACUAUGUUUGCUCCCCAUGGGGAUGUAGUGUGCCAUGGGCACACACAGAACCCUCCUCAGUGUGUAUACAAGUGCAGGUCGCCCUAAGGGACCCUGGAGACAGUC